This is a long non-coding RNA of Carassius carassius (crucian carp), 336 nucleotides long. RefSeq lists it as uncharacterized. Lineage: Eukaryota; Metazoa; Chordata; Actinopteri; Cypriniformes; Cyprinidae. The record is from RefSeq and is a predicted model, not a curated record. The transcript has 5 exons.
AUUCAUUAAAAGAAUCUGUUCAAAAGCGCGAAUCGGACAUCACGGCGAUUUUCCCGCCCACACGCAGAAUAAUUGCGUCAUUUCUGCCCGGGUUUUCUCGCUAGCGGUUUCUUCACGCGCUCCCGCCAUCAACUUCUGCAAAACAUCUUGCAGAUAUUUAAUUGACGUUAAUCCUCUCUCAGCUGCAGCCGCUCAUCAUGGAUGACUGGGAGGAAGAUCAGGGCCCUGUUGUAUCCUGCAGUUCAGGUUUUGGUCUGAGCUCUAGAGGUGCAGAUGGAGGAUUCAAGAGCUUCUAUACAGGAAGUACAGGAAACGGGAAGGCAAACAAUGAAGGUU